CCUACGGGAGGCAGCAGUGGGGAAUCUUAGACAAUGGGGGCAACCCUGAUCUAGCCAUGCCGCGUGAGUGAUGAAGGCCUUAGGGUCGUAAAGCUCUUUCGCCUGUGAUGAUAAUGACAGUAGCAGGUAAAGAAACCCCGGCUAACUCCGUGCCAGCAGCCGCGGUAAUACGGAGGGGGUUAGCGUUGUUCGGAAUUACUGGGCGUAAAGCGCGCGUAGGCGGAUUAGAAAGUUGGGGGUGAAAUCCCGGGGCUCAACCCCGGAACUGCCUCCAAAACUGCUAGUCUAGAGUUCGAGAGAGGUGAGUGGAAUUCCGAGUGUAGAGGUGAAAUUCGUAGAUAUUCGGAGGAACACCAGUGGCGAAGGCGGCUCACUGGCUCGAUACUGACGCUGAGGUGCGAAAGUGUGGGGAGCAAACAGGAUUAGAUACCCUGGUAGUCCACACCGUAAACGAUGAAUGCCAGUCGUCGGAUAGUAUACUAUUCGGUGACACACCUAACGGAUUAAGCAUUCCGCCUGGGGAGUACGGUCGCAAGAUUAAAACUCAAAGGAAUGACGG
Molecule: ribosomal RNA, 559 nt
Filed under: uncultured bacterium
Lineage: Bacteria
Description: bacterial SSU rRNA
Rfam family: Bacterial small subunit ribosomal RNA
Source: RNAcentral